This 345-nucleotide unclassified non-coding RNA is filed under the name soil metagenome. Its description in RNAcentral is "partial contains 5.8S ribosomal RNA, internal transcribed spacer 2, and large subunit ribosomal RNA". The stretch from base 1 to 120 matches the Rfam family "5.8S ribosomal RNA", at positions 35 to 154 of the family's 154-position model. The record is from RNAcentral.
GAUGAAGAACGCAGCGAAAUGCGAUACGUAAUGUGAAUUGCAGAAUUCAGUGAAUCAUCGAGUCUUUGAACGCACAUUGCGCCCCCUGGUAUUCCGGGGGGCAUGCCUGUCCGAGCGUCAUUGCUGCCCUCAAGCACGGCUUGUGUGUUGGGCCUCCGUCCUCCUCCCGGGGGACGGGCCCGAAAGGCAGCGGCGGCACCGCGUCCGGUCCUCGAGCGUAUGGGGCUUCGUCACCCGCUCUUGUAGGCCCGGCCGGCGCUUGCCGACACAUCAAUCUUUUUUCCAGGUUGACCUCGGAUCAGGUAGGGAUACCCGCUGAACUUUAGCAUAUCAAUAAGCGGAGGA